UACGUAGGGUGCAAGCGUUACUCGGAAUCACUGGGCGUAAAGCGCGCGUAGGCGGUUUGUUAAGCCGGAUGUGAAAUCCCAGGGCUCAACCCUGGAACUGCGUCCGGAACUGGCGAACUAGAGUCCCGGAGAGGGAGGUGGAAUUCCCAGUGUAGCGGUGGAAUGCGUAGAUAUUGGGAGGAACACCUGAAGCGAAAGCGGCCUCCUGGACGGCGACUGACGCUGAGGCGCGAAAGCGUGGGGAGCAAACAGG
RNAcentral lists this ribosomal RNA (253 nucleotides) under uncultured bacterium. RNAcentral's name for it is "partial 16S ribosomal RNA". It matches the Rfam family "Bacterial small subunit ribosomal RNA", at positions 524 to 776 of the family's 1533-position model. The record is from RNAcentral.